UACGAAGGGGGCUAGCGUUGUUCGGAAUUACUGGGCGUAAAGCGCACGUAGGCGGAUAUUUAAGUCAGGGGUGAAAUCCCAGAGCUCAACUCUGGAACUGCCUUUGAUACUGGGUAUCUUGAGUAUGGAAGAGGUAAGUGGAAUUGCGAGUGUAGAGGUGAAAUUCGUAGAUAUUCGCAAGAACACCAGUGGCGAAGGCGGCUCACUGGUCCGGUACUGACGCUGAGGUGCGAAAGCGUGGGGAGCAAACAGG
This 253-nucleotide ribosomal RNA is filed under the name uncultured bacterium. RNAcentral describes it as "partial 16S ribosomal RNA". It matches the Rfam family "Bacterial small subunit ribosomal RNA", at positions 524 to 776 of the family's 1533-position model. The record is from RNAcentral.